RNAcentral lists this ribosomal RNA (266 nucleotides) under uncultured bacterium. RNAcentral's name for it is "partial 16S ribosomal RNA". It matches the Rfam family "Bacterial small subunit ribosomal RNA", at positions 793 to 1055 of the family's 1533-position model. The record is from RNAcentral.
GUCCACGCUGUAAACGAUGUUCACUAGGUGUAGGGGGUAUCGACCCCCUCUGUGCCGCAGCUAACGCGUUAAGUGAACCGCCUGGGGAGUACGGCCGCAAGGCUAAAACUCAAAGGAAUUGACGGGGGCCCGCACAAGCAGUGGAUCAUGUGGUUUAAUUCGACGAUACCCGAAAAACCUUACCACAACUUGAUAUCUGCCGAAUUCUCUAGAAGUAGAGAAGUGCCCGCAAGGGAGCGGCAAGACAGGUGGUGCAUGGCUGUCGU